This is a long non-coding RNA of Cornus florida, 1345 nucleotides long. RefSeq lists it as uncharacterized. The transcript has 3 exons. The record is from RefSeq and is a predicted model, not a curated record. NCBI's taxonomy places the organism in Eukaryota, Viridiplantae, Streptophyta, Magnoliopsida, Cornales, Cornaceae.
GGCAAAUCAUUUCAGCCUCCCAAAUCGCCUCCAUCUCUAUUCUCGUUCUCAACUCUGAACUUACCCUCUCUCUGUCUUUGCGACUGCAAACUGCAAACUGCAAACUGCAAAAUCUACAAGAAUCAGAUUAGCCUCCCAAAUGGCCUCCAUCUCUAUUCUCGUUCUCAACUCUGAACUUGCCCUCUCUCUGUCUCUGCAACUGCAAACUACAAAAUCUACAAGAAUCAGAACAUAUCGGCAUAUCAUUUCAGAUUGUUCAAAAUAUAAAAACCCAUAUCCUUCGGUUUCCAUCGCCCGCUGUUCCAGUUUGGGUUCGCCGUUCCCAAGCUUCAGCCUCUGGCCCGCUGUCUCUCAACUCUCAAGCCCUCUCUCUGCAACUGCUAACUCUGAAAUUUUUAGGGCAAAUCAUUUCAGCCUCCCCAAUCGCCUCCAUCUCUAUUCUCGUUCUCGACUUUGAACUUGCCCUCUCUCUCUAUCUCUGCAACUGCAAACUACAAAAAUCUACAAGAAUCUGAACCCAUAUCGCCAUAUCAUUUCAGAUUGUUAAAAAUAUCAAAACCCAUAUCCUUCAGUUUCCAUCGCCCGCUGUUCCAGUUUGGGUUCGCCGUUCGCAAGCUUCAUCCUCUGGCCCGCUGUCUCUCAACUUUCAAGCCCUCCCUCUGCAACUGCUAACUUGUAAUGAUUCACACCUGCCAUUACAUGGUUCUGCACAAAUUAUGAACCAUCUUAUUGAUGCUAUCCUGGUAAUAUCAGGCUCUUUGAUUUAGCAGAUUUGAUUUAAGUUCUAGCAAUCUGAUUGUAACACUGGUUACAGGAAAUGGUGUCAUUUCAACCCAAGUUCAUACACCUUUUGGCACUACAAUUUUCCAAAUAAUUUUCAUUUUGGUCCCAAUUAUCUUUCAGUUAACACUGGGAAUGGUAUCAUUAAAACUCACUCUAAGUUCAUUCUCCUUUUGGCACUAGAAUUAUCUACAUAAUGUGCAUUUUGGUCCGAGCUCUCUUUGAGGUACACGACAUAGUUUGACUGGUCGUUCUUUCUUUCUCUUUUUUUCAUUCCAUCUGAGGUGAUAUCUUCAUUUGGUAUUGGUUUAAAUGGUAUACUAAUUUUAUAAUUCCUGUUGUCUAAUUUGUAAUCACUAGAAUAAGCAUAAUUCACUAAGGAAUGCUUGUCUUUUCUUUUUUCUUUCGAUUUGUAUGGCUGUCACACAGCUUUGUUAUAGGAGUGCCAUGUAAACAUGUGCCGCUGGCAAUGUUAGUGAGGAUGAACGUAUAGCAGUGUUGUUCUAUCCAUUGAGAAAAAGAGAAAGAAAAGGUUAAUAAAAUGAGAAAACCCGUUCCAUGUUUA